CGAAGGGUGCAAGCGUUACUCGGAAUUACUGGGCGUAAAGCGUGCGUAGGUGGUUUGUUAAGUCUGAUGUGAAAGCCCUGGGCUCAACCUGGGAAUGGCAUUGGAUACUGGCGGGCUAGAGUGCGGUAGAGGGUAGUGGAAUUCCCGGUGUAGCAGUGAAAUGCGUAGAGAUCGGGAGGAACAUCUGUGGCGAAGGCGACUACCUGGACCAGCACUGACACUGAGGCACGAAAGCGUGGGGAGCAAACAGGAUUAGAUACCCUGGUAGUCCACGCCCUAAACGAUGCGAACUGGAUGUUGGGAGCAAUUAGGCUCUCAGUAUCGAAGCUAACGCGUUAAGUUCGCCGCCUGGGGAGUACGGUCGCAAGACUAG
RNAcentral lists this ribosomal RNA (373 nucleotides) under uncultured organism. RNAcentral describes it as "bacterial SSU rRNA". It matches the Rfam family "Bacterial small subunit ribosomal RNA", at positions 526 to 897 of the family's 1533-position model. The record is from RNAcentral.